Molecule: ribosomal RNA, 439 nt
Filed under: uncultured bacterium
Lineage: Bacteria
Description: bacterial SSU rRNA
Rfam family: Bacterial small subunit ribosomal RNA
Source: RNAcentral
CAACGCGAAGAACCUUACCUGGUCUUGACAUCCACAGAACUUUCCAGAGAUGGAUUGGUGCCUUCGGGAACUGUGAGACGGGUGCUGCAUGGCUGUCGUCAGCUCGUGUUGUGAAAUGUUGGGUUAAGUCCCGCAACGAGCGCAACCCUUAUCUUUUGUUGCCAGCGGUCCGGCCGGGAACUCAAAGGAGACUGCCAGUGAUAAACUGGAGGAAGGUGGGGAUGACGUCAAGUCAUCAUGGCCCUUACGACCAGGGCUACACACGUGCUACAAUGGCGCAUACAAAGAGAAGCGACCUCGCGAGAGCAAGCGGACCUCAUAAAGUGCGUCGUAGUCCGGAUUGGAGUCUGCAACUCGACUCCAUGAAGUCGGAAUCGCUAGUAAUCGUGGAUCAGAAUGCCACGGUGAACACGUUCCCGGGCCUUGUACACACCGCCCG